GCAUAUUGCAUGGGCUCAAGGCAUGAAUUUUAAAUAUAAAUUUUUUAAAAAAAAUUAGGGAAAUCGAUUUACCCAAUUAGCUAAAUCGAUUUCCCCUGCGUAGACACCAAAAAUAAGCCUUUUUUUCACAGAGGAUAUUUGGUUCCCCCCACUUUCUCACUUGCUUUCCCUAUAAAUAGAUGCAUUAUUCCCUCUCUUUUUUCAUGCUUUCUAACCCCCAAAAAUUCUGAA
Molecule: long non-coding RNA, 231 nt
Filed under: Lathyrus oleraceus (garden pea)
Lineage: Eukaryota; Viridiplantae; Streptophyta; Magnoliopsida; Fabales; Fabaceae
Description: Pisum sativum (pea) long non-coding RNA (PSAT_LNC007138)
Source: RNAcentral